This 333-nucleotide ribosomal RNA is filed under the name Staphylococcus sp. S75. RNAcentral's name for it is "partial 23S ribosomal RNA". It matches the Rfam family "Bacterial large subunit ribosomal RNA", at positions 2592 to 2925 of the family's 2925-position model. Lineage: Bacteria; Bacillati; Bacillota; Bacilli; Caryophanales; Staphylococcaceae. The record is from RNAcentral.
AGCGGUACGCGAGCUGGGUUCAGGAACGUCGUGAGACAGUUCGGUCCCUAUCCCGUCGUGGGCGUAGGAAAUUUGAGAGGAGCUGUCCUUAGUACGAGAGGACCGGGAUGGACAUACCUCUGGUGUACCAGUUGUCGUGCCAACGGCAUCGCUGGGUAGCUAUGUAUGGACGGGAUAAGUGCUGAAAGCAUCUAAGCAUGAAGCCCCCCUCAAGAUGAGAUUUCCCAACUUCGGUUAUAAGAUCCCUCAAAGAUGAUGAGGUUAAUAGGUUCGAGGUGGAAGCAUAGCGAUAUGUGGAGCUGACGAAUACUAAUCGAUCGAAGACUUAAUCAA